GUUUCCGUGGUUGAAUAAUGAUGGUGAUUUUUAGGCCAUUAGACUUGGUUUAAGCCCGGGCGGAAAUU
Molecule: transfer RNA, 68 nt
Filed under: Citharoides macrolepis (twospot largescale flounder)
Lineage: Eukaryota; Metazoa; Chordata; Actinopteri; Pleuronectiformes; Citharidae
Description: tRNA-Lys
Source: RNAcentral